UAGGGAAUCUUCCGCAAUGGGCGAAAGCCUGACGGAGCAACGCCGCGUGAGUGAUGAAGGUCUUCGGAUCGUAAAACUCUGUUAUUAGGGGAGAACAAAUGUGUAAGUAACUAUGCACGUCUUGACGGUACCUAAUCAGAAAGCCACGGCUAACUACGUGCCAGCAGCCGCGGUAAUACGUAGGUGGCAAGCGUUAUCCGGAAUUAUUGGGCGUAAAGCGCGCGUAGGCGGUUUUUUAAGUCUGAUGUGAAAGCCCACGGCUCAACCGUGGAGGGUCAUUGGAAACUGGAAAACUUGAGUGCAGAAGAGGAAAGUGGAAUUCCAUGUGUAGCGGUGAAAUGCGCAGAGAUAUGGAGGAACACCAGUGGCGAAGGCGACUUCCUGGUCUGUAACUGACGCUGAUGUGCGAAAGCGUGGGGAUCAAACAGG
Molecule: ribosomal RNA, 429 nt
Filed under: Actinomycetes bacterium
Lineage: Bacteria; Bacillati; Actinomycetota; Actinomycetes
Description: Actinobacteria bacterium partial 16S ribosomal RNA
Rfam family: Bacterial small subunit ribosomal RNA
Source: RNAcentral